UACCUGCGCCACAAAUGGUGAUCACUAUUAUUGGGUCUAGAGCGUCCGUAGCCGGUUUAGCAAGUUCCUGGUGAAAUCUGGCAGCAAACUGUCAGGCGUGCUGGGAAUACUAUUAAACUUGAGAUUGGGAGAGGUCAGAGGUAGUCCAUGUGUAGGGGUUAAAUCCUUUAAUCCAUGGAGGACCACCGGUGGCGAAGGCGUCUGACUGGAACAAGUCUGACGGUGAGGGACGAAAGCGUGGGGAGCAAAACGG
RNAcentral lists this ribosomal RNA (253 nucleotides) under uncultured archaeon. RNAcentral's name for it is "partial 16S ribosomal RNA". It matches the Rfam family "Archaeal small subunit ribosomal RNA", at positions 474 to 727 of the family's 1478-position model. The record is from RNAcentral.